This 389-nucleotide ribosomal RNA is filed under the name uncultured bacterium. Its description in RNAcentral is "bacterial SSU rRNA". It matches the Rfam family "Bacterial small subunit ribosomal RNA", at positions 28 to 418 of the family's 1533-position model. The record is from RNAcentral.
GACGAACGCUGGCGGCGUGCUUAACACAUGCAAGUCGAGCGGUAAGGCUCCUUCGGGAGUACACGAGCGGCGAACGGGUGAGUAACACGUGAGCAAUCUGCCCUUCACUUUGGGAUAACUCCGGGAAACCGGUGCUAAUACCGAAUGCGACCACUUCAGGCAUCUGACGGUGGUGGAAAGUUCCGGCGGUGAAGGAUGAGCUCGCGGCCUAUCAGUUUGUUGGUGAGGUAAUGGCUCACCAAGGCUAAGACGGGUAGCUGGUCUAAGAGGAUGAUCAGCCACACUGGAACUGAGACACGGUCCAGACUCCUACGGGAGGCAGCAGUGGGGAAUAUUGCACAAUGGGCGCAAGCCUGAUGCAGCGACGCCGCGUGGGGGAUGACGGCCUC